GGGGAUGUGACUCAGUGGUAGAGUGUCUGCCUGGAAAGCAUAGGGCCAAGUUUGAGCCUCAGUGCCA
This 67-nucleotide transfer RNA is filed under the name Heterocephalus glaber (naked mole-rat). It matches the Rfam family "tRNA". Rfam says of the family: Transfer RNA (tRNA) molecules are approximately 80 nucleotides in length. Their secondary structure includes four short double-helical elements and three loops (D, anti-codon, and T loops). Further hydrogen bonds mediate the characteristic L-shaped molecular structure. tRNAs have two regions of fundamental functional importance: the anti-codon, which is responsible for specific mRNA codon recognition, and the 3' end, to which the tRNAs corresponding amino acid is attached (by aminoacyl-tRNA synthetases). tRNAs cope with the degeneracy of the genetic code in two manners: having more than one tRNA (with a specific anti-codon) for a particular amino acid; and 'wobble' base-pairing, i.e. permitting non-standard base-pairing at the 3rd anti-codon position. The record is from Rfam by way of RNAcentral. Lineage: Eukaryota; Metazoa; Chordata; Mammalia; Rodentia; Bathyergidae.